RNAcentral lists this microRNA precursor (196 nucleotides) under Oryza brachyantha (malo sina). Its description in RNAcentral is "MIR812 microRNA precursor family". It matches the Rfam family "MIR812 microRNA precursor family". Lineage: Eukaryota; Viridiplantae; Streptophyta; Magnoliopsida; Poales; Poaceae. The record is from Rfam by way of RNAcentral.
AAUAAAUCAAUUUUUCGCUUUUUACCUAUAUUUUUUGGCUCUUCGUCUUAUUUAAAAAAAUUUUGUAAUUGAUAUUUUUAUUUUUAUUGGAUGAUAAAUUAUGAAUAAUACUUUACGUGUGACUAAUUUUUUUCUAAUUUUCUAAAAGUUUUUUAAAUAAGACGGAUGGUCAAACGUUGGGACAGGAAAAUCGAUG